Molecule: ribosomal RNA, 246 nt
Filed under: uncultured Rhodococcus sp.
Lineage: Bacteria; Bacillati; Actinomycetota; Actinomycetes; Mycobacteriales; Nocardiaceae
Description: partial 16S ribosomal RNA
Rfam family: Bacterial small subunit ribosomal RNA
Source: RNAcentral
CACGCCGUAAACGGUGGGCGCUAGGUGUGGGUUUCCUUCCACGGGAUCCGUGCCGUAGCCAACGCAUUAAGCGCCCCGCCUGGGGAGUACGGCCGCAAGGCUAAAACUCAAAGGAAUUGACGGGGGCCCGCACAAGCGGCGGAGCAUGUGGAUUAAUUCGAUGCAACGCGAAGAACCUUACCUGGGUUUGACAUGUACCGGACGACUGCAGAGAUGUGGUUUCCCUUGUGGCCGGUAGACAGGUGG